RNAcentral lists this ribosomal RNA (527 nucleotides) under uncultured earthworm cast bacterium. Its description in RNAcentral is "bacterial SSU rRNA". It matches the Rfam family "Bacterial small subunit ribosomal RNA", at positions 77 to 598 of the family's 1533-position model. The record is from RNAcentral.
GAGCAAUCCUGGCGGCGAGUGGCGAACGGGUGAGUAAUACAUCGGAACGUGCCCAAUCGUGGGGGAUAACGCAGCGAAAGCUGUGCUAAUACCGCAUACGAUCUACGGAUGAAAGCAGGGGACUCGCAAGAGCCUUGCGCGAAUGGAGCGGCCGAUGGCAGAUUAGGUAGUUGGUGGGGUAAAGGCUCACCAAGCCAACGAUCUGUAGCUGGUCUGAGAGGACGACCAGCCACACUGGGACUGAGACACGGCCCAGACUCCUACGGGAGGCAGCAGUGGGGAAUUUUGGACAAUGGGCGAAAGCCUGAUCCAGCCAUGCCGCGUGCAGGAUGAAGGCCUUCGGGUUGUAAACUGCUUUUGUACGGAACGAAAAGUCUCUUUCUAAUAAAGAGGGAUCAUGACGGUACCGUAAGAAUAAGCACCGGCUAACUACGUGCCAGCAGCCGCGGUAAUACGUAGGGUGCAAGCGUUAAUCGGAAUUACUGGGCGUAAAGCGUGCGCAGGCGGUUAUGUAAGACAGUUGUGAA